GGUGCAGCUUGCUCGAAAUUUGAUAUGCCACAAAUUGGAGAUUUGUUAAGCAAGCAUGCGGCACAGCUCAUCAAAGAAGAUCGUCUACCAGAAGCAAUUGAACUACAAAAGAAAGCUGGAUUUUAUUUGGAAGCCGCGCGUUUGCUGGGUAAACUGGCACAACGGGAAGCCGAAAAGGAUUCCAGCAUGCUACGCAUUAAAAAGCUCUAUAUUUUAGCUUCAUUAUUAUCCGAGGAACAUCUGAAAUCAUUGAGUACAGUAGAAUUGAGUUACAAAGUGGAUAGAAAUUCGAAUUGGAUACGAUGAGUCCAGAAGACGCACACGUCGUUGAACAUAUGUGGAUGCAGCGGAAGCUUAUCAUUUUAUGAUGUUGGCACAGCGUCAGUUACGAUUUGGUAUUACACGCAAUGCUGUCGCUACUGCAUUGCGCUUGUGCGAUUACGAUGAUAUUUUGCCAGCAGAAGAUGUAUAUAAUAUACUCGCGCUUUCCUGUUGUGCAGAUCGAUCAUUUGGUACAUGCGUCAAGGCUUUUACAAAGCUAGAAGGAAGUUUGGAGAGUAUACCGCGA
This is a non-coding RNA of Bactrocera oleae (olive fruit fly), 568 nucleotides long. NCBI's taxonomy places the organism in Eukaryota, Metazoa, Arthropoda, Insecta, Diptera, Tephritidae. The record is from RefSeq and is a predicted model, not a curated record.